RNAcentral lists this ribosomal RNA (253 nucleotides) under uncultured bacterium. RNAcentral's name for it is "partial 16S ribosomal RNA". It matches the Rfam family "Bacterial small subunit ribosomal RNA", at positions 524 to 776 of the family's 1533-position model. The record is from RNAcentral.
UACGGAGGGGGCUAGCGUUGUUCGGAAUUACUGGGCGCAAAGCGCACGUAGGCGGCUUUGUAAGUUAGAGGUGAAAGCCCGGGGCUCAACCCCGGAAUAGCCUUUAAGACUGCAUCGCUUGAACACGGGAGAGGUGAGUGGAAUUCCGAGUGUAGAGGUGAAAUUCGUAGAUAUUCGGAAGAACACCAGUGGCGAAGGCGGCUCACUGGACCGUUGUUGACGCUGAGGUGCGAAAGCGUGGGGAGCAAACAGG